RNAcentral lists this ribosomal RNA (407 nucleotides) under uncultured prokaryote. Its description in RNAcentral is "bacterial SSU rRNA". It matches the Rfam family "Bacterial small subunit ribosomal RNA", at positions 355 to 776 of the family's 1533-position model. The record is from RNAcentral. RNAcentral also lists the same sequence under 1 other name.
UGGGGAAUAUUGGGCAAUGGAGGAAACUCUGACCCAGCAACGCCGCGUGAAGGAAGAAGGUCUUCGGAUUGUAAACUUCUGUUAUAGGGAAAGAACAAGAUGACGGUACCCUAUGAGGAAGCUACGGCAAACUAUGUGCCAGCAGCCGCGGUAAUACAUAGGUAGCGAGCGUUAUCCGGAAUAACUGGGCGUAAAGGGAGCGUAGGUGGCGAGAUAAGUUGAAUGUGAAAGCCUGUGGCUUAACCAUAGAACUGCAUUCAAUACUGUUUGGCUAGAGUACGAGAGAGGUAAGCGGAAUUCCUAGUGUAGCGGUUAAAUGCGUAGAUAUUAGGAGGAACACCAGAGGCGAAGGCGGCUUACUGGCUCGAAACUGACACUGAGGCUCGAAAGCGUGGGGAGCAAACAGG